GACGAACGCUGGCGGCGUGCUUAACACAUGCAAGUCGAACGGCAACGCCCUGCUCUUGUUGGCUGCUCGAGUGGCAAGCGGGUGAGUAACACGUGAGCAUCCUGCCCUUGACUUUGGGAUAACUUCAGGAAACUGGGGCUACUACCGGAUAGGAGCUCCUGCUGCAUGGUGGGGGUUGGAAAGCUUCGGCGUUGGGGGAUGGACUCGGGGCUUAUCAGCUUGUUGGUGGGGUAUUGGCCUACCAAGCCAUUGGCGGGUAGCCGGCCUGGGAGGGGGACCGGCCACAAUGGUACUGAGGUAGGGCCCAGUCGCCAACGGUAGGCAGCGGUGGGGAAUAUUACACAACGGGCGGAAGCCUGAGACAGCGACGCCGCGUUCGUGAUGACGGCCUGCGGGGGAUGAACCGCUUUCGCCUGUGACGAAGCGGGAGUGACGGUAAUGGGUAAAGAAGCACCGGCUAACUACGUG
Molecule: ribosomal RNA, 468 nt
Filed under: uncultured bacterium
Lineage: Bacteria
Description: partial 16S ribosomal RNA
Rfam family: Bacterial small subunit ribosomal RNA
Source: RNAcentral